UCCGAUAUGGUGUAGUGGCUAACAUCGCUCGCUCUCAUUAAGAUCCGAGCAGCCCUGGGUUCGAUUCCCAGUAUCGGAG
Trichoderma virens Gv29-8 is the source of this 79-nucleotide transfer RNA. It matches the Rfam family "tRNA". From Rfam's summary of the family: Transfer RNA (tRNA) molecules are approximately 80 nucleotides in length. NCBI's taxonomy places the organism in Eukaryota, Fungi, Ascomycota, Sordariomycetes, Hypocreales, Hypocreaceae. The record is from Rfam.